Molecule: ribosomal RNA, 439 nt
Filed under: uncultured bacterium
Lineage: Bacteria
Description: partial 16S ribosomal RNA
Rfam family: Bacterial small subunit ribosomal RNA
Source: RNAcentral
CUACGGGUUGCUCCAGCGGGGAAUAUUGCACAAUGGACGAAAGUCUGAUGCAGCAACGCCGCGUGGAGGAUGACACAUUUCGGUGCGUAAACUCCUUUUAUAUAAGAAGAUAAUGACGGUAUUAUAUGAAUAAGCACCGGCUAACUCCGUGCCAGCAGCCGCGGUAAUACGGGGGGUGCAAGCGUUACUCGGAAUCACUGGGCGUAAAGCGCAUGUAGGCGGACUUGUAAGUUGGAAGUGAAAUCCUAUGGCUCAACCAUAGAACUGCUUCCAAAACUGCUUGUCUAGAAUAUGGGAGAGGUAGAUGGAAUUUCUGGUGUAGGGGUAAAAUCCGUAGAGAUCAGAGGGAAUACCGAUUGCGAAGGCGAUCUACUGGAACAUUAUUGACGCUCAGAUGCGAAAGCGUGGGGAGCAAACAGGAUUAGAUACCCUUGUAGUC